CCAAACAGCAGAAGCUUUAAGUUCCCGGGCCAUAGCCCGAUGCAGACAGUUGUUUGCUGGCUCUGAAAGCCACAAGGGCUGUUUGUACACAACUCUUUGAAAAAGGGGAAAUGCGGCUCGCCCUGGAGUGCGAAUCUAAUUUGAAAUGUAGCCGGAGUGAAGCUUUCCCACUUAAAAACCCAGUUUCUUAUUUCUUUUGAAGAUAGACAGGAACAUGGGCAGGAUGUUUAUACAGCGAAAUGUAAACAUCUUCUCAGGGGUUCUUUAAUAAAAAGAAAUCAGAAAGAAAAGUCCCUGGUAGUUCGCAUAGGGCCCCUUGCUAAGCCAUAUAAAAUAGCGCCCGUCGCCGGUUUUGCUGCCGGGUUAGGCUUUUGUUGUUGUUUGUUGUUGUUGUGAUAUAAACAUGUGUUGAUUUUUUCAGCUAUGGCCAGACUUUGAUCCUCAGAAGUAAUGGAUCACACACACACACACACAUACACACACACACACACGGGGGGGGGAGGAAAAGGAGGGCAAAGCCUUCAUCAGACCCCCCCACCCACAAAAAAGUCUGACCAUCGUAUCAUCAGUAAAGCUGUCACUCACUAAUCAAGAGAUCUGUACAUCAGAGGGGAUGUGGCAGGUGGGGAGAGGGCUGGAGAGCCUUCUUGCAUGGAUCACCUCUUCCUUCCCUGGAUGGGUGAUCAGACGAGUAGGCUGGGGUACCACGAUAUGGACAGCACAGUUUUUGGCUAGCCAUCCUGACCUACUCUGAGGAAUUUUCAUGCAUAGGAGCUUUGACUUUGCAAGCGUGCUGUGUAUAUAAUCUUUCUCUGAAGAUCGUCUACAGUAUAAGAUCUGUGAGAAUGGACUGCCUGGGAUCACAUGUAUGCACUGACAUCCUCCCUGUUCUCAGUUGUCUGGAGAAGCUGCUAGAUUGAGUUUUUGCAAAACAAUAUGCAGGACUGAUAAAGAAACAAUUCAAUAUUUAUUUCUGCUGGGCUCUUGUAUGUACUCUGGCAUUUGCUCUUUAUUACACUUUCUUUGUCAGUUUAAUCUUGUUGUAAUGAAUGCUUCUUUUUCCUUUCAGAAAUAAAUUCCAUGUUUUAA
Dermochelys coriacea (leatherback sea turtle) is the source of this 1089-nucleotide long non-coding RNA. RefSeq lists it as uncharacterized. The transcript has 4 exons. The record is from RefSeq and is a predicted model, not a curated record. NCBI's taxonomy places the organism in Eukaryota, Metazoa, Chordata, Testudines, Dermochelyidae.